UCCGUAGGCGGAUUGAUAAGUCAGAGGUGAAAUCCCACAGCUUAACUGUGGAACUGCCUUUGAAACUGUUAGUCUUGAGUUAUAUGGAAGUAGAUAGAAUGUGCAGUGUAGCGGUGAAAUGCAUAGAGAUUACACAGAAUACCGAUUGCGAAGGCAGUCUACUACGUAUAUACUGACGCUAAUGGACGAAAGCGUGGGGAGCGAACAGGAUUAGAUACCCUGGUAGUCC
Molecule: ribosomal RNA, 229 nt
Filed under: uncultured bacterium
Lineage: Bacteria
Description: partial 16S ribosomal RNA
Rfam family: Bacterial small subunit ribosomal RNA
Source: RNAcentral